GACCUAGGCCAGAGGGAACUUGGGGCUCAGGGUGGGGUUCCUGGUCCUUUGGGCGUGGAGUCGUCCCAAACCAGAAGGCCUCCUGCUGCAGCCACCCCUGCUACCUGCCCACAGGUGGUCCGAGUCUACUGCUAUGUGACCGUGGUGAGCUUGCAGUACCUGACGCCGCUCAUCCUCACCCUCAACUGCACACUUCUGCUCAAGACGCUGGGAGGCUAUUCCUGGGGCCUGGGCCCAGCUCCUCUACUAUCCCCCGACCCAUCCUCAGCCAGCGCUGCCCCCAUCGGCUCUGGGGGGGACGAAGUCCAGCAGACUGCAGCGCGGAUUGCCGGGGCCCUGGGCGGCCUGCUUACUCCCCUCUUCCUCCGUGGCGUCCUGGCCUACCUCAUCUGGUGGACGGCUGCCUGCCAGCUGCUCGCCAGCCUUUUCGGCCUCUACUUCCACCAGCACUUGGCAGGCUCCUAGCUGCCUGCAGACCCUCCUGGGGCCCUGAGGUCUGGUCCUGGGGCAGCGGGACACUAGCCUGCCCCCUCUGUUUGCGCCCCCGUGUCCCCAGCUGCAAGGUGGGGCCGGACUCCCCGGCGUUCCCUUCACCGCAGUGCCUGACCCGCGGCCCCCCUUGGACGCCGAGUUUCUGCCUCAGAACUGUCUCUCCUG
Molecule: small RNA, 657 nt
Filed under: Pan troglodytes (chimpanzee)
Lineage: Eukaryota; Metazoa; Chordata; Mammalia; Primates; Hominidae
Description: retained intron
Source: RNAcentral